Molecule: ribosomal RNA, 501 nt
Filed under: uncultured bacterium
Lineage: Bacteria
Description: partial 16S ribosomal RNA
Rfam family: Bacterial small subunit ribosomal RNA
Source: RNAcentral
AUUGAACGCUGGCGGCAUGCCUUACACAUGCAAGUCGAACGGCAGCACGGGUGCUUGCACCUGGUGGCGAGUGGCGAACGGGUGAGUAAUACAUCGGAACGUACCUUAUCGUGGGGGAUAACGCAGCGAAAGCUGUGCUAAUACCGCAUACGCCCUGAGGGGGAAAGCGGGGGAUCGCAAGACCUCGCGCGAUUAGAGCGGCCGAUGCCUGAUUAGCUUGUUGGUGGGGUAAAAGCCCACCAAGGCGACGAUCAGUAGCUGGUCUGAGAGGACGAUCAGCCAAACUGGGACUGAGACACGGCCCAGACUCCUACGGGAGGCAGCAGUGGGGAAUUUUGGACAAUGGGGGCAACCCUGAUCCAGCAAUGCCGCGUGAGUGAAGAAGGCCUUCGGGUUGUAAAGCUCUUUUGUCAGGGAAGGAACACCGGCUCUAACACAGUCCGGGAAUGACGGUACCUGAAGAAUAAGCACCGGCUAACUACGUGCCAGCCGCCGCGGUAA